This 1043-nucleotide ribosomal RNA is filed under the name uncultured archaeon. Its description in RNAcentral is "bacterial SSU rRNA". It matches the Rfam family "Archaeal small subunit ribosomal RNA", at positions 1 to 1054 of the family's 1478-position model. The record is from RNAcentral.
UCUGGUUGAUCCUGGCGGAGGCCACUGCUAUCGGAGUUCGAUUAAGCCAUGCGAGUCGAGAGGUGCAAGACCUCGGCAUACUGCUCAGUAACACGUGGACAACCUACCCUAUGGAGGGGGAUAACCCCGGGAAACUGGGGAUAAUACCCCAUAGACUAUGGAUGCUGGAAUGCUCUGUAGUUGAAAGGUCCGCCGCCAUAGGAUGGGUCUGCGGCCGAUUAGGUUGUUGUUGGGGUAACGGCCCAACAAGCCUGUAAUCGGUACGGGUUGUGGGAGCAAGAGCCCGGAGAUGGAUUCUGAGACACGAAUCCAGGCCCUACGGGGCGCAGCAGGCGCGAAAACUUUACAAUGCGGGAAACCGUGAUAAAGGAACUCCGAGUGCCCGUAAAAUCGGGCUGUCCAUCUGUUUAAAUAACAGGUGAAGAAAGGGCCGGGCAAGACCGGUGCCAGCCGCCGCGGUAAUACCGGCGGCUCGAGUGGUGGCCACUAUUACUGGGCUUAAAGCGUUCGUAGCUGGUCUGUUAAGUCUCUGGGGAAAUCUACUGGCGUAACCAAUAGGCGUUUCAGGGAUACUGGCAGACUAGGGACCGGGAGAGGUGAGGGGUACUCCAGGGGUAGGAGUGAAAUCCUGUAAUCCUUGGGGGACCACCUGUGGCGAAGGCGCCUCACCAGAACGGCUCCGACAGUGAGGGACGAAAGCUGGGGGAGCAAACCGGAUUAGAUACCCGGGUAGUCCCAGCCGUAAACGAUGCGCGUUAGGUGUAUCGGUGACCACGAGUCACCGAGGUGCCGAAGAGAAAUCGUGAAACGUGCCGCCUGGGAAGUACGGUCGCAAGGCUGAAACUUAAAGGAAUUGGCGGGGGAGCACCACAACAGGUGGAGCCUGCGGUUUAAUCGGACUCAACGCCGGAAAUCUCACCGGAUAAGACAGCUGUAUGAUAGUCGGGCUGAAGACUCUACUUGACUAGCUGAGAGGAGGUGCAUGGCCGUCGUCAGUUCGUACUGUGAAGCAUCCUGUUAAGUCAGGCAACGAGCGAGACCCA